Molecule: ribosomal RNA, 551 nt
Filed under: Shewanella sp. 16SWWE-3
Lineage: Bacteria; Pseudomonadati; Pseudomonadota; Gammaproteobacteria; Alteromonadales; Shewanellaceae
Description: bacterial SSU rRNA
Rfam family: Bacterial small subunit ribosomal RNA
Source: RNAcentral
CCUGAGGUGACGAGCGGCGGACGGGUGAGUAAUGCCUAGGGAUCUGCCCAGUCGAGGGGGAUAACAGUUGGAAACGACUGCUAAUACCGCAUACGCCCUACGGGGGAAAGGAGGGGACCUUCGGGCCUUCCGCGAUUGGAUGAACCUAGGUGGGAUUAGCUAGUUGGUGAGGUAAUGGCUCACCAAGGCGACGAUCCCUAGCUGUUCUGAGAGGAUGAUCAGCCACACUGGGACUGAGACACGGCCCAGACUCCUACGGGAGGCAGCAGUGGGGAAUAUUGCACAAUGGGGGAAACCCUGAUGCAGCCAUGCCGCGUGUGUGAAGAAGGCCUUCGGGUUGUAAAGCACUUUCAGUAGGGAGGAAAGGUAGCGUGUUAAUAGCACGUUACUGUGACGUUACCUACAGAAGAAGGACCGGCUAACUCCGUGCCAGCAGCCGCGGUAAUACGGAGGGUCCGAGCGUUAAUCGGAAUUACUGGGCGUAAAGCGUGCGCAGGCGGUUUGUUAAGCCAGAUGUGAAAUCCCCGGGCUCAACCUGGGAAUUGCAUUUG